GGCGAACGCUGGCGGCGUGCUUAACACAUGCAAGUCGAACGGUAAGGCCCUUCGGGGUACACGAGUGGCGAACGGGUGAGUAACACGUGGGUGAUCUGCCCUGCACUUCGGGAUAAGCCGGGGAAACUGGGUCUAAUACCGGAUAGGACCACUGCCUGCAUGGGUGGUGGUGGAAAGCUUUUGCGGUGUGGGAUGGGCCCGCGGCCUAUCAGCUUGGUGGUGGGGUGAUGGCCUACCAAGGCGACGACGGGUAGCCGGCCUGAGAGGGUGACCGGCCACACUGGGACUGAGAUACGGCCCAGACUCCUACGGGAGGCAGCAGUGGGGAAUAUUGCACAAUGGGCGCAAGCCUGAUGCAGCGACGCCGCGUGAGGGAUGACGGCCUUCGGGUUGUAAACCUCUUUCAGCACCGACGAAGCGCAAGUGACGGUAGGUGCAGAAGAAGGACCGGCCAACUACGUGCCAGCCGCCGCCGUAA
Molecule: ribosomal RNA, 478 nt
Filed under: uncultured bacterium
Lineage: Bacteria
Description: partial 16S ribosomal RNA
Rfam family: Bacterial small subunit ribosomal RNA
Source: RNAcentral